This is a long non-coding RNA of Brassica napus (rape), 1698 nucleotides long. RefSeq lists it as uncharacterized. The record is from RefSeq and is a predicted model, not a curated record. Lineage: Eukaryota; Viridiplantae; Streptophyta; Magnoliopsida; Brassicales; Brassicaceae. The transcript has 2 exons.
AAAUUUUUGUGAUCAAUGGUUUAACUUUUUUUUUUAAAUCAAGAUACAAAAGAUCAUAUAUUGUAGGAGUGAGCGUUCGGAUAACCGUUAGAGUUUGGUAUCGGGUAUUUAUAAUUUUUGGGUUUUUUAAUAUAAAGGUAUAGAACCCAUUCGGGCAUUUCUACCCUUUGGAUCGGGUUCAAAUAUUCUAUGUUCGGGUUUGGAUAUUUUGGGUCAGAUUCGAAUAUUUAAAUUUUGAAGAAUAAAUAAAGAAAUUAUUCAUUGUUUAAGUUUUUUUUGUAUUUAAAAUAUACUUUUAACUUAACUGUUUUUAUAAUUUUUAAAAGAUUAAACUAGUAAUAAGUCUGGAAAUAAAACUCAAAAAAUAGAAAGACAUUAAUUUAGUUGUUAUUUUGAAAUCUAAUUAUAUAAAAAGAUGUUGCCUCCCUCCUGUUGAGCGCGACACGUGUCCGAAGGGUAAAGCACUGCGUUUCAUUAAAGAACCGGGCUGCUGCGUACGUUUCUGAUACAUAUUACAGCCCAAUAAUGAUAGGCCCAUUUAGAAUCCAUGAGAUACAAGCCAAUGCUAGGAUUUCGGCUCUUCUUCCCUCAUCUACAUCAAAGAAGUUCUUCUGCGUUCUCAAACGAAAAUGAUGGGAGUUUCAAGGUAUCGAUUGAUUUGCUCACAUCAACAUGAUGUAUCUCUUUCUUGAUCUUUGUUCGCGUCGUUCGGGCUACUCUCUUAGAUUCUGAGAAUGUGGUCGCAAACAUCAAACUCCGACGAGCUAGGCACCAAACCAUCCGCUACAACACCACCGACGACGAUCCGCCGCUGACACACGUUGUUCCUCCAAUCUCCCAGCCCAAUAUUCGCUUCCGCAAUGUCAUCCUUCUCUCUCCUCCCCACUUCCUCCAACGAACCCACAAAGAAGAAACAGCUCGGCUUCCCUCGAGCUGCGUCCUUUCUAGGGAUGAACUGCACCGUCGCAGCAGAGACGAGGUUUCUGUUCCCUCCGUGAUUUGCUCCUCCGUAGAUUGGGACAACAAGAAGACGAAAAAGAAGAGAAAGGAAGCUACGAGGAGGGUUCGGUUAGGUUCUUGAGCGAGUCUAGACAGUGGUUCAAACGUCGUUCUAGCGACUUACUUUGCUAACGUAACGUGAUUCGUGUUUUUUCACUGGUUCUUACUUAUAUUACUCUAAACAGUGGUUUGAAUUGAUCGAUUCGGUGACGCUGAUUAUCACUAGGAGACAAGCUUCUUCUCAGAGUUAGGGGAGCUCCGCUUGCUCUGAUUCAUGUUUCCUCCUCUGAUCCUUUGCCUCACCUUAGUAUCAAAAAUACACCAAUCGAGACAUCAUCUGCGCAGUUUAUACGUCAACGGUACACUGCUGCUUCCAGUGGACAGAAGCUUCAAAACUCUAUAACAAACGCUUAUGGGGAAGCUCAAGAUGAUCACUUCUGAGCUUCAGACUGCGACUUCUUGUAGGGAACCGGACGAACCCGUCCAAGGCUGAGAGUGGAGGUUUCGUUCUCUGGCAGAUAAAUCUAUACAUAUAUAUUAACAGUUUUGUAAUGUUCUCAUCUUCUGUUUGGAUCAUUUGAUUUGAUGUUUCUGCUUAUGCGUGUUGAGAGUCCUUUUUGGUUUCUUUAGGUUAUGCUUGAUAUCGUGUUAUCUGAGUUUCAAGUUAUCAAUAAUUCUGAGAAAACUAUUACUCUUAAA